CAGUAGCCGCGGGAAUACGUAGGGUGCGAGCGUUAAUCGGAAUUACUGGGCGUAAAGCGUGCGCAGGCGGUUCGUUAAGACAGAUGUGAAAUCCCCGGGCUUAACCUGGGAACUGCAUUUGUGACUGACGGGCUAGAGUAUGGCAGAGGGUGGUAGAAUUCCACGUGUAGCAGUGAAAUGCGUAGAGAUGUGGAGGAAUACCGAUGGCGAAGGCAGCCCCCUGGGCUAAUACUGACGCUCAUGCACGAAAGCGUGGGGAGCUAACAGGAUUAGAUACCCCCGUAGUCCCUGUCUCUUAUAC
RNAcentral lists this ribosomal RNA (301 nucleotides) under uncultured bacterium. RNAcentral's name for it is "partial 16S ribosomal RNA". It matches the Rfam family "Bacterial small subunit ribosomal RNA", at positions 509 to 807 of the family's 1533-position model. The record is from RNAcentral.